This 440-nucleotide ribosomal RNA is filed under the name uncultured Methylobacteriaceae bacterium. Its description in RNAcentral is "bacterial SSU rRNA". It matches the Rfam family "Bacterial small subunit ribosomal RNA", at positions 338 to 795 of the family's 1533-position model. Lineage: Bacteria; Pseudomonadati; Pseudomonadota; Alphaproteobacteria; Hyphomicrobiales; Methylobacteriaceae. The record is from RNAcentral.
CCUACGGGGGGCAGCAGUGGGGAAUAUUGGACAAUGGGCGCAAGCCUGAUCCAGCCAUGCCGCGUGAGUGAUGAAGGCCUUAGGGUUGUAAAGCUCUUUUGUCCGGGACGAUAAUGACGGUACCGGAAGAAUAAGCCCCGGCUAACUUCGUGCCAGCAGCCGCGGUAAUACGAAGGGGGCUAGCGUUGCUCGGAAUCACUGGGCGGAAAGGGCGCGUAGGCGGCCGAUUAAGUCGGGGGUGAAAGCCUGUGGCUCAACCACAGAAUUGCCUUCGAUACUGGUUGGCUUGAGACCGGAAGAGGACAGCGGAACUGCGAGUGUAGAGGUGAAAUUCGUAGAUAUUCGCAAGAACACCAGUGGCGAAGGCGGCUGUCUGGUCCGGUUCUGACGCUGAGGCGCGAAAGCGUGGGGAGCAAACAGGAUUAGAUACCCGGGUAGUC